This 405-nucleotide ribosomal RNA is filed under the name Acanthamoeba sp. RNAcentral's name for it is "SSU rRNA". It matches the Rfam family "Eukaryotic small subunit ribosomal RNA", at positions 762 to 1115 of the family's 1831-position model. Lineage: Eukaryota; Discosea; Longamoebia; Acanthamoebidae. The record is from RNAcentral.
AAAAUUAGAGUGUUCAAAGCAGGCAGAUCCAAUUUUCUGCCACCGAAUACAUUAGCAUGGGAUAAUGGAAUAGGACCCUGUCCUCCUAUUUUCAGUUGGUUUUGGCAGCGCGAGGACUAGGGUAAUGAUUAAUAGGGAUAGUUGGGGGCAUUAAUAUUUAAUUGUCAGAGGUGAAAUUCUUGGAUUUAUGAAAGAUUAACUUCUGCGAAAGCAUCUGCCAAGGAUGUUUUCAUUAAUCAAGAACGAAAGUUAGGGGAUCGAAGACGAUCAGAUACCGUCGUAGUCUUAACCAUAAACGAUGCCGACCAGCGAUUAGGAGACGUUGAAUACAAAACACCACCAUCGGCGCGGUCGUCCUUGGCGUGUCUCGGCUUCACGGCUGGGGCGCGCGAGGGCGGUUAGCCC